GUAUUGUAUGACAGGAGAGAAGGUUAGCACUCUGCUUGACAAGGAUGGAAGAGGCCCUUGGGUCUGCCAGCAUGCAUACAGUUAAGGUCCUGCCACCUACUUUGAGGCAUCAAUCAGGAGCCAUAG
Molecule: non-coding RNA, 126 nt
Filed under: Chinchilla lanigera (long-tailed chinchilla)
Lineage: Eukaryota; Metazoa; Chordata; Mammalia; Rodentia; Chinchillidae
Source: RNAcentral